CCUACGGGCGGCUGCAGUGGGGAAUAUUGGACAAUGGGGGCAACCCUGAUCCAGCCAUGCCGCGUGUGUGAAGAAGGCCCUCGGGUUGUAAAGCACUUUCAGUGAGGAAGAACGCCUGGUGGUUAAUACCCAUCAGGAAAGACAUCACUCACAGAAGAAGCACCGGCUAACUCCGUGCCAGCAGCCGCGGUAAUACGGAGGGUGCGAGCGUUAAUCGGAAUUACUGGGCGUAAAGCGCGCGUAGGUGGCUUGAUAAGCCGGUUGUGAAAGCCCCGGGCUCAACCUGGGAACGGCAUCCGGAACUGUCAGGCUAGAGUGCAGGAGAGGAAGGUAGAAUUCCCGGUGUAGCGGUGAAAUGCGUAGAGAUCGGGAGGAAUACCAGUGGCGAAGGCGGCCUUCUGGACUGACACUGACGCUGAGGUGCGAAAGCGUGGGUAGCAAACAGGAUUAGAUACCCGUGUAGUC
This 465-nucleotide ribosomal RNA is filed under the name Vreelandella stevensii. RNAcentral's name for it is "partial 16S ribosomal RNA". It matches the Rfam family "Bacterial small subunit ribosomal RNA", at positions 338 to 795 of the family's 1533-position model. The record is from RNAcentral. Lineage: Bacteria; Pseudomonadati; Pseudomonadota; Gammaproteobacteria; Oceanospirillales; Halomonadaceae.